RNAcentral lists this ribosomal RNA (255 nucleotides) under uncultured bacterium. RNAcentral describes it as "partial 16S ribosomal RNA". It matches the Rfam family "Bacterial small subunit ribosomal RNA", at positions 524 to 777 of the family's 1533-position model. The record is from RNAcentral.
UACGUAGGGGGCAAGCGUUGUCCGGAUUUAUUGGGCGUAAAGAGCGUGUAGGCGGCCAUACAGGUCAGCUGUGAAACUCGAGGCUCAACCUCGAGACGUCGGUUGAAACCGUAUGGCUAGAGUCCGGAAGAGGAGAGUGGAAUUCCCGGGUGAUAGCGGUGAAAUGCGCAGAUAUCGGGAAGAACACCCGUGGCGAAGGCGGCUCUCUGGGACGGUACUGACGCUGAGACGCGAAAGCGUGGGGAGCGAACGAGG